CGAAACCGAUAGCGAACAAGUACCGUGAGGGAAAGUUGAAAAGUACUCUGAAUAGAGAGUUAAAUAGUACGUGAAACCGCUUAGGGGUUAAGCCCGAUGAACCCGAAUAUCUGAUGUGAGAAAUUCAAUACGAUUCAAAUUCAUAUUUUUAUAUUGGAUUUGUAUAGUAUGCACUUUUCUCAUAGUAAGACAUUGUAAUCCAUUGAUAUUAUAUCUCAUCAUGAGAUGAUUUAACAUACGGUCAAAAUGUUUAUGAUUAUUCUAUCAGUGAUAUGUUUACAUGUCAUAUGAAUAAAAUCGUUUUGUUCCUGUUUAAAUAGUCGAUGGAUUUUUCAUUGAAAUCAUGCUUGCAAUUUAUUUUGCGUUUCGUAUCAUUAAUUUUUAAUUGUUGAUAGCAGAAAUGGCAUGUAUUCGAUUAACAAUGCGAUAGAUUUGGGAUACUUUCAGGACCCGUCUUGA
Molecule: ribosomal RNA, 459 nt
Filed under: Cupressatia siskiyou
Lineage: Eukaryota; Metazoa; Arthropoda; Insecta; Diptera; Cecidomyiidae
Description: partial large subunit ribosomal RNA
Rfam family: Eukaryotic large subunit ribosomal RNA
Source: RNAcentral